GCUAGUAAUGGCAGGUCAGCAUACUGCCGNGAAUACGUUCCCGGGCCUUGUACACACCGCCCGUCACACCAUGAGAGUUGGAAAUACCCGAAGCCUGUGAGCUAACAGUAAUGAGGNAGCAGUCGAAAGGGUAGAGCCAAUGAUUGGGGGUGAAGUCGUAACAAGGUAUC
Molecule: ribosomal RNA, 170 nt
Filed under: uncultured bacterium
Lineage: Bacteria
Description: partial 16S ribosomal RNA
Rfam family: Bacterial small subunit ribosomal RNA
Source: RNAcentral